Molecule: unclassified non-coding RNA, 499 nt
Filed under: Hevea brasiliensis (rubber tree)
Lineage: Eukaryota; Viridiplantae; Streptophyta; Magnoliopsida; Malpighiales; Euphorbiaceae
Source: RNAcentral
CUUUCCAAUACCUUCCCUCCAAGCAAAACAAUGUUAUUAAACUUUCAUUUACCUUACUUUAUUUUACUUUCGUCCCAAAUAUAAAACAAACUAUUACCUUACUUUACUAAAACUUCUUUUACUGGAUCUUCCUUCAUCCCAUCCAAACAAAGUAUAAGAUACCAAAGAUACUAAACCAAAGAGCCAUCAAACAAAAGGAGUUGCUUCACCACAGCAAGGUAGUGGGACCAAAGAACAGCCUCCAUGAAGAAGAAAACCCAGAAGAGCAUAAAGCCAAACACAAGGUGUGAUCAUCUAUCCAGGAAAGAACUCAUUCGAAACAAAAAUUGACAAGUAGAGUUUGCAACCACUAGGAACAAAUUGCAACUGAGAGGAGGAUCGCAAAGCAGUGAGAGCCUAACUUCUAACUCAAAGGAAGCAAAGACACCUAUAUAAAAAUAUACUAUUUAAUACCUAUAUUUGACUUCCGUUAAACUAUUAAGUCCCUCCUCUUUAAAAA